Molecule: ribosomal RNA, 253 nt
Filed under: uncultured bacterium
Lineage: Bacteria
Description: partial 16S ribosomal RNA
Rfam family: Bacterial small subunit ribosomal RNA
Source: RNAcentral
UACAGAGGGGGCAAGCGUUAUUCGGAAUUAUUGGGCGUAAAGGGCGCGUAGGCGGCUUUGCAAGUGACGGGUGAAAGCCCUCGGCUUAACCGAGGAACUGCCUGUCAGACUGUAAGGCUUGAGACCGGGAGAGGUGAGUGGAAUUCCCAGUGUAGCGGUGAAAUGCGUAGAUAUUGGGAGGAACACCAGUGGCGAAGGCGGCUCACUGGACCGGAACUGACGCUGAGGCGCGAAAGCGUGGGGAACAAACAGG